GUCUUUGUAGCUCAGCCGAUAGAACAGCAGUCUUGUGAGCUCAAGGCCAUCAGUUCAAGUCUGACCUAAGACA
Non-coding RNA from Colletotrichum tofieldiae, 73 nucleotides. NCBI's taxonomy places the organism in Eukaryota, Fungi, Ascomycota, Sordariomycetes, Glomerellales, Glomerellaceae. The record is from the annotation of a GenBank genome assembly.